This 983-nucleotide ribosomal RNA is filed under the name human gut metagenome. Its description in RNAcentral is "bacterial LSU rRNA". It matches the Rfam family "Bacterial large subunit ribosomal RNA", at positions 1945 to 2925 of the family's 2925-position model. The record is from RNAcentral.
ACGGUCCUAAGGUAGCGAAAUUCCUUGUCAGGUAAGUUCUGACCCGCACGAAAGGCGUAAUGAUUUGGGCACUGUCUCAACAGCCCGCCCGGCGAAAUUGUAGUACCGGUGAAGAUGCCGGUUACCCGCAACUAGACGGAAAGACCCCAUGGAGCUUUACUGCAGCUUAAUACUGAGAUUCGGUAAUUCAUGUACAGGAUAGGUGGGAGACUUGGAAACAGGGGCGUCAGCUUCUGCGGAGUCACCCUUGGGAUACCACCCUUGGAUUGCUGGGUUUCUAACCUGCGGCCAUGAAUCUGGUCGGGGGACACUGUUAGGCGGGCAGUUUGACUGGGGCGGUCGCCUCCUAAAAAGUAGCGGAGGCGCUCAAAGCUUGGCUCAGCAUGGAUGGAAAUCAUGCAAUGAGUGUAAACGUAUAAGCCAAGUUGACUGCGAGACCGACGGGUCGAGCAGGGACGAAAGUCGGAGUUAGUGAUCCGGUGGUAUGUGAGUGGAAAUGCCAUCGCUCAACGGAUAAAAGUUACCCUGGGGAUAACAGGCUGAUCUCCCCCAAGAGUCCACAUCGACGGGGAGGUUUGGCACCUCGAUGUCGGCUCAUCGCAUCCUGGGGCUGAAGUAGGUCCCAAGGGUUGGGCUGUUCGCCCAUUAAAGCGGUACGCGAGCUGGGUUCAGAACGUCGUGAGACAGUUCGGUCCCUAUCUGUCGUGGGCGCAGGAUAUUUGAGAGGCGCUGUCCCUAGUACGAGAGGACCGGGAUGGACGAACCUCUGGUGCACCAGUUGUCACGCCAGUGGCACAGCUGGGCAGCUAUGUUCGGAUCGGAUAAACGCUGAAAGCAUCUAAGCGUGAAGCCGGCCUUAAGAUAAGAUAUCCCACUGAGUCAAUCAGGUAAGACCCCUUGAAGACUACAAGGUUGAUAGGCACAGAGUGUAAGCGGAGUGAUCCGUUCAGCUAGUGUGUACUAAUAGGUCGAGGGCUUGACCC